RNAcentral lists this ribosomal RNA (786 nucleotides) under uncultured bacterium. Its description in RNAcentral is "bacterial SSU rRNA". It matches the Rfam family "Bacterial small subunit ribosomal RNA", at positions 8 to 796 of the family's 1533-position model. The record is from RNAcentral.
AGAGUUUGAUCAUGGCUCAGAACGAGCGCUGGCGGCGUGCUUAACACAUGCAAGUCGAGUGCGCGUGCCGUAGCAAUACGGUAUGGCGCACGGCGCACGGGUGCGUAACACGUGGGCAAUCUGCCCUCCGAUGGGGAAUAACUCCGGGAAACCGAAGCUAAUUCCGCAUAACAUUCCUUGGACUCCGGUCCGGGGAUUCAAAGCAGCAAUGCGUCGGAGGAGGAGCCCGCGCCCGAUUAGCUAGUUGGUGAGGUAACGGCUCACCAAGGCUAUGAUCGGUAGCUGGUCUGAGAGGAUGGCCAGCCACACUGGAACUGAGACACGGUCCAGACUCCUACGGGAGGCAGCAGUGGGGAAUCUUGCGCAAUGGGCGAAAGCCUGACGCAGCGACGCCGCGUGGGGGAUGAAGCUUCUCGGAGUGUAAACCCCUUUCGACCGGGACGAAUGCCCGCAAGGGAGUGACGGUACCGGUAGAAGAAGCCCCGGCUAACUACGUGCCAGCAGCCGCGGUAAGACGUAGGGGGCCAGCGUUGUUCGGAAUUACUGGGUGUAAAGGGUUCGUAGGCGGUGUGGCAAGUCGGGAGUGAAAUUUCUGGGCUUAACUCAGAACCUGCUUCCGAAACUGCUGUGCUCGAGUGUGGGAGAGGCGCGUGGAAUUGCAGGUGUAGCGGUGAAAUGCGUAGAUAUCUGCAGGAACACCCGUGGCGAAAGCGGCGCGCUGGACCACUACUGACGCUGAGGAACGAAAGCUAGGGGAGCAAACAGGAUUAGAUACCCUAGUAGUCC